RNAcentral lists this long non-coding RNA (2143 nucleotides) under Canis lupus familiaris (dog). RNAcentral describes it as "lncRNA (ENSCAFG00845027067.1)". The record is from RNAcentral. Lineage: Eukaryota; Metazoa; Chordata; Mammalia; Carnivora; Canidae.
GCCGCACAAGUAUCAUAUGGCUCGUUCUGGGGUAUGAGAGGCAAUUUGGGUGCAGAAAUGCCGUAGCUUGAAAUGAUUACAGGCCUCAGGGAAGAAAUCGGUAAAACUCUUUGAGGCUAUCUUAGAAGAUCCAAGAUACUAUACAGUCCCUUCCAUCUCCAGGGGCCCCCGGAGCUCCUGGAUCCUCCUUCCCUCUGACAUUCUGUUUUACCCAGCCUCUCACAUCCAUUCCAUUCAUCCCCAAUCAACACGUUACGUAGUUUUUCCAUGAGUCAAUCUUUAUUGUUUUUUUGAAGUAAGGAAUUAUUGGCGUAAGGUUCAAUGAGCUUCAAAGCGAACAACAGAAGGAAACUACACCAUACGGGUAGGUGGGUGGGUGGGAAGACCCGACGGGGAGGGGGCGUGACCCGGGGCAGCUGCGGGCCUCACCUGCGGGAGCUGGGUCUCGCUUGCCAGGACCCUGCAGCCGGGUCGCAGCCCAGCGGGGCACAGCAUGGUGUGGAGGAGCCACAGCUCAGGGGUCUGAAGACACACCCCGUCCUCUGGGGGAGGCAGUCCUUUCUGGCCUUCUUGGAACCGAACCUUCCAAUCAUUGCCACCAACAGCGGCUUGGCCACCACGAGGACUCAACCUCCCUCCGGGACAGCCGGUUCUCCCCCACCGGGGCCUCCUAGGAUGGAAGCCCCCCCCACCCCAGGGACAGAUUAAGGCCCCUGCAGAUGGAGGACGGGGCGAAGGCGCAGGUGGUUCCGGAGGCCCUCCGCCAUCCACCGCGCGUGUCUUCCCUCGGGGGCUCGGGGGCUCGGGGGCAGCGCAGAGAGGGCCCCUCAGUAGGAGGGAGCUGCCCCGGGCUCCGCCGGCUCCUCCUCUAUGAGCUCCAGGUCGAACUCGUCCUCCAGGGACCCUCCGACGGGCAGCAGGCGGAACUUCUUCCCCUUCAGGGUGCAGGUGCGGUGCUCGAAGUCCAGGACGGCGUUGUGGUCCUGCAGCACGUCGGUGCCGAUGAUGGCCUCCUCGGCGCUGGCGUUGGCCACCAGGAACUCUGCCUUCAGCUUCAGCUUCCCCAGGGACACCACCGUGUCCCAGAUGCCCAGGAUCUUCAUCUCCGCCCCGUUGGCCACUUUGACCACGUUCUCGAAGGGCCGCAGCGUGUCCAGGUCGCCGUCCGUGACCUCCUCCCACAGGCUGGGGUGGACCACGGACACCUGGGCCCCGGAGUCCACCAGGAACCUCACGGGCACCUUCCCGAUCUUGCCCUUGAGGUAGUAGCCCUUGCCCAUGCUGUUGGCGAAGACGAUCUCGCGGGGCGGGAGGCCCCCGGAGGCCUGCAGCAGGGCGGCCUUCACCGCCGCGUAGUCGGCCUGGGCCUCGGGCCCGAGCGCGCGGAGGGUCUGCAGGGCGCGUCCCCGCAGGGACCCCCGCAGGAGCCGCAGCCUGGCCGCGGGGUCCCAGCCGUUCAGGUCACCGAUGGCCUCGAAGCGGUGCAGCCAGGCGCGCGCGCCCACGCCCUCCCCGUCGAAGGGCUCCGGGACGAAGGCGCGCUCCCCGCGGCGCCCCCGGGGCCCGGCCUCCGUCCCCGUCCCCGUCCCCGGCCCCGUCCCCGUCCCCGUCCCCGUCCCCGGCCCCGUCCCAGCCAUCGCGCUGCCCUCCUGUGCCAGCGCCGCGGCCACGCACGCCGCGUACAGCAGACCGCAGAGCCGUGCGGGCGCAAUCACGCUGCGGGGCGCGGGGCAGGUGCGGGGGGCGCGGGGGCAGGUGCAGGUGCAGGUGCGGAGGGCGCAGGUGCAGGUGCAGGUGCAGAGGGCGCAGGUGCAGGUGCAGGUGCAGGUGCGGAGGGCGCAGGUGCAGGUGUGGAGGGUGCAGGUGCAGGUGCGGGGGCGCGGGGGGCCGCGGGGGGCAGGUGCAGGUGCGGAGGGCGCAGGGGCAGGUGCAGGUGCAGGUGCAGAGGGCGCAGGGGCAGGUGCAGGUGCAGGUGCAGAGGGCGCAGGUGCAGGCGCGGGGGGCCUGGGCCUCUGCGGAGCGCGGCUGCCGUCGGGGCCUCUGCGGGGAGCCGCUGCGGUGGGGCCGAGGCGGAGGCCGGAGCGACUGCGGCGCGGCUCCCCCGCGGGGCCCUUUUGAUGCCCAGCCCGCCCCGCUCGUCCCC